AUAACAGUAUUGGUCGAAUUAAUAAUAGGCAGUGCGAAUCAUUAAAAUUUGUGUUGGCGUAGGUAAUCACUUGAACGCCCACACUACAAAUGUAAAUUUGGCAAAGAAACUUCGUGGGAAGAAGCAACCCAGAACUUACUUCAGUAAAUUAUGAGUUUUAAUUUUCUAUUUUCGGUAAACCUCGUGAAUAAGAAUAAGUGAACACCAGCUGCAUCAGUCACCGUUCAAAACUUUUGAAAAACAAAACACGAAUUUCAACCUUCGUUCUUGGAAAAGUAUUUCUGCGGUCCAGUAGUUUGUAAGGUUGCAGCGACGAAGCAUGUCAUGACCGAAACAAUAAGCGUGAAAAUGACUUACACACACUAUUCUUAAAUGAAAUGAAUUUGUUACAUGAACGUAUGUAUGAUGAGAACCCAAACCAUUAUUUUGUGUCACAAGUAAUUGUGUUAAUAAUUUUUAACUCUGAAUAUGAUAUUCAGGGAAAGUGUCGUUUGAUUUUCAAACAUAAAUCACAUUAAGUAUGUAUACUAUUUUAGUUUUAUUAAAUGACUUAUACGAUUUAA
This is a long non-coding RNA of Bombyx mori (domestic silkworm), 563 nucleotides long. RefSeq lists it as uncharacterized. The transcript is spliced from 3 exons. NCBI's taxonomy places the organism in Eukaryota, Metazoa, Arthropoda, Insecta, Lepidoptera, Bombycidae. The record is from RefSeq and is a predicted model, not a curated record.